CUGUAGCCGUGGGCAGGUGGGGCUGUGGGGGGAGGAGUCAGGAAGCGCUGCGGCCCACGUGCUAAAGGCGCCUCCUGCCAGAGAGGAAAGUAACCUCGGUCUCUUACAGUGUUGAGACUCAAACAGUAUGAAAGGUCAGACUGCAGAUUCUUUUCUUUCAUUGAUGAACAGUCACACAGCUGCUGCUGCUGUUACCUUGUGACUCAUUUUUUGCCGAAGCUCACUCACGAGGCUCUUGUCAUUUUGAUGCCGGACUAUCAGGAGUGCCAGACUAUUGGAUGCCAGACUAUUGGAGUUUUACUGUAUAAUGGAAGAGUGCUAUAUGGCAUGGAGAGGGCCUUAGGGAUGGUGAAUCAUUGUUUGUGGGUGGAUUGAUGAGGCUAAAUAAUACACAUGCAUUUUAAAUAUACUCAAAUAAUGCAUGGUUCUGCUACUGUGCUUCAUAGUGGAUGUGGUAAAAACACCUGAAUAUUUUAAAGCAAGAUUAGAUUUACCACAUGAUCAACAAAAGAUAUAUAGCACAGGCAACUGGAAAGGUCAUUUACAUCACUUCAGUAACCUUGUGUAACCACCUGUGGGUUGCUCCACAGCCCAGACUAACCAGAGCAGAGGAUGCUCUGGCCUAACCACUUUCAUCUCCAGUGAGUCUGGGCACAAACUCACAUUAAGGUGUUCCACAAGUUCUACACAGGCAGAGGAACAUCUUUAUGCAAAGUAUUCCCCUUGCAUGCAGUUCUGUCGUCUUCAUGCUACCAGGGGGACAGAAUCAAGUUUCUAACAUGAGAAUGAGAUUAGAAUUUAAUGGAAAGUAUUAUCCCAUACUUUUUGUUCCUUUACUGAAAAGUAGUCAUAGACACUAAUGCAACGUGAGUUGAGGCAGCAUAUUUUUUGCAUUUUCAUGCAAUGGUUAAAUUAGGAUUCGGAAUUAACUUAACCUUGUUAAAGCUCUCUAAAUAAUGUAUACAUGCAAAAGUAUAUAAAAACUCACUUUGAUAUCAUGAAA
Molecule: non-coding RNA, 1003 nt
Organism: Pelodiscus sinensis (Chinese soft-shelled turtle)
Lineage: Eukaryota; Metazoa; Chordata; Testudines; Trionychidae
Source: RefSeq, a predicted model, not a curated record